UUGAUCCUGGCUCAGAAUCAACGCUGGCGGCGUGCCUAACACAUGCAAGUCGAACGCGAAAGUUCCGCAAGGAAUGAGUAGAGUGGCAAACGGGUGAGUUACGCGUGGGUGACCUGCCUUCGAGUGGGGGAUAACGUUCCGAAAGGGACUCUAAUACCGCAUGACAUCCUCUCUUUGAACAGAGGGACAUCAAAGCCUGUGACCGCAAGGCCAGGCGCUCGGAGAGGGGCCCGCGUCCGAUUAGCUAGUUGGUGGGGUAAUGGCUCACCAAGGCGACGAUCGGUAGCCGGCCUAAGAGGUCGGACGGCCACACUGGGACUGAGACACGGCCCAGACUCCUACGGGAGGCUGCAGUGGGGAAUUGUUCGCAAUGGGCGCAAGCCUGACGACGCAACGCCGUGUGGAGGACGAAGACUUUCGGGUCGUAAACUCCUGUCGAGUGGGAAGAAUAGCCUGCGGGUGAACAGCCUGUAGGACUGACGGUACCGCUAAAGGAAGCUCCGGCUAACUCCGUGCCAGCAGCCGCGGUAAUAAGGU
Molecule: ribosomal RNA, 537 nt
Filed under: uncultured Acidobacteriota bacterium
Lineage: Bacteria; Pseudomonadati; Acidobacteriota
Description: bacterial SSU rRNA
Rfam family: Bacterial small subunit ribosomal RNA
Source: RNAcentral